Molecule: long non-coding RNA, 2639 nt
Organism: Anopheles gambiae (African malaria mosquito)
Lineage: Eukaryota; Metazoa; Arthropoda; Insecta; Diptera; Culicidae
Exons: 2
Source: RefSeq, a predicted model, not a curated record
UCGAUUAUCCGGGCAGCUCGGGACGGAUAAUGGUCCAAGAAAUGUCAAAUUCAUAUAAAAAUUUAAUAAUCCCCUAGUUUUAUGAUAAAUUCACCUUGUAUCCAUCGAAAAAUCGUUAGUAGAAUAUUAUUUUAAUUAUUGACUAUAGGUUUAACAACUUUUCAUGAACAAAAAUAAAUUUCAAAUACACCACUAGACACUACAGAGCUGCACAAAAAACUGGUUGCCCACUUGACUAUCGCUGCAAAUGUUCGCCGUACGUUUGAACAGCUGUCACAUUUAUGCGCACGGUUAAGCCGCCCGCCGGUUAAUCCGCCCCCGGAUAAUCCACGUUCUACUGUAUAACACACAGUGUUUUUCAAAUUUUAUCUACACCAUUUCCAAUUUAUUCAAUAUUCGGAAAAUCAUUUUUCAUUCUUAUUUAUGUAAUAAUGCGUAUUUAUUUUUAUACCAUACUAUUUUUUUAUUAACUGUUUGAAAACUAUGUGUUUUCUUUUAUUCCUCUCUUUGAAUCUGCGGUGAUAAUAAAAAAAGAAUUUAAAAAUAAAAAAAAUAUAUUUCUGUAAUAUCCUGGAGAUAUGACCCCUGAUAAGACCAUAGUGCCCAAUAUGCCGGAUCAGAAUAUGACCAUCACCGUGACAACUGUGCGAUAAUCUGAAUGUCAAAAUAAAGAUCAUUCGUUUACGGAUCGUUGUACUGACAACACCUUCAGCCUUCUGUUUAUUCUUCUACUUUGCGAUUUUGUGCCUUUGUUCUAACUUGAACGUUUAAUUCAAAUUGGUAAAAUUCGAGGUUUUACAUCUCAGAAGUGGGAUACGUCUUAUCGCCUGCACCUGCUUUUCUGUCCAAUCCAGCACGGCACAAGAUUGUGUAUCAAAGAGUUUGUGUGUUUGUGUGUGAGACGACGCUACCAUCUGCCAUUGCGAUGCGCAAAAACGAGAAGCUUCUGUGUGUGCUUGCCGGUAUAGGCAGCAAAUUCGAUGAUUAGGCACGAUUUGCCUCAUGGGUAGAUGGCCAGAUUCACCACCCGCAACGAUCUCGAUCCCUGCAACCGCAUAGACACCAGCCAUCCAGCAUUUGCAUUUUGUGUGGCCGCCAUCUUGUUCAUGUUGCGCGACAAUGACGACGCCGCCAUUUAGUAUGAAUACGGCCGCUGGCUAUUCUUUCAUCAUCGCUCAUACUUGGAAUACUGGAAAAGCUUCGCGCAUCACUUCUGUUAUUGCAUGUGCACCGCAUGCCGUGUUGUCAUCGCCUCCGAUUCAUCGUGUGUAUUGCCUUCCGCCACUUUAUGGAUUGACCCCGCUACCACCCUCUACCGCCGCGUCAUGUUCGAGUGCUGUGGCAUCGGUUGUAGCCUACUGAACUGUUGAACAACAAUCAUCGUGGUGUCGUUCAGUAUUCAGGUUCAUCCUGAUCGACAUUGUCCUUAUGCUUGGCUGUAACUUCUGUAAACGUCAGCAAGACUUCUGGAGGAGAUGCCGAUCAGCGGCAGCAGUACUUACACCCGCUAUGAGAUUGAUUCAACCGCACGCAUCACAUGACGACAUCAUUCAGGAUCAGUUCUUUUCGAUAUCAGCAUCGUCCUCAUGCUUGGCUGUAACUUCCGUAAACUUCAGCAAGACUUCCGGAGGAGAUGUUGGUCAGAAAAGCAGCUGUGAUUGAAAUUGACACCCACCUUGAAGUUGACCCAACUUUACGCAUCAUAUGACGACAUCAAUCCGGAUCAACACCUUUCGAUAUCAUCAUCGUCCUUAUGCUUGGCUGUAACUUCCGUAACCUUCAGCAAGACUUCCGGAGGAGAUGUUGGUCAGAAAAGCAGUUGUGAUUGAAAGUAUGUGAGUUAUUCUCAUGCCAGCUCUGUUCAAUAAGUAUUGAAGAUUUCUACAGCAAAGCCGCUCAAAUUGAGGUCAAUUUGUUUGUCAGAAUAGCCGAGCUGUAAUAUCCUGGAGAUUUGACCCCUGAUAAGACCAUAGUGCCCAAUAUGCCGGAUCAGAAUAUGACCAUCACCGUGACAACUGUGCGAUAAUCUGAAUGUCAAAAUAAAGAUCAUUCGUUUACGGAUCGUUGUACUGACAACACCUUCAGCCUUCUGUUUAUUCUUCUACUUUGCGAUUUUGUGCUUUGUUAUAACUUGAACGUUUAAUUCAAAUUGGUAAAAUUCGAGGUUUUACAUUUCAUAUUUUCAAAUGAUAGAUGUGAAGAGUUUGAUGAAGGGUAUGCAAUAUUUGCAAAUGAGAAAAAUUUUCAUAAAAAUAUAUAUUUUCUUGGGCAAAAUAAUAUGCUCUUGAUGACGAUAAUUUUUGAGACAUACUGUACAUGGUCACGUACAUGGCGCCUCCAUUUCUUAUGUCAAAAAGUUCGUCAAGCUUCGUGUGUGUAGCUUGUGUGUAGAUGGCAACAAAACCAAGCGUCUGCGACAAUUUCUAUCAGCUAUUGUUUAAUUUGUGUGUCAUCAUGAUUUUAUAACAGCAUAUUUGAUUUGGAUAGCGUUUGGACAUCAUGUUUUUCGUCCAAGGCUGCAGCUGACCUCCAUGCUGAUAUAAUGGAAGAAACCCAUGGAAUGGAAGAAACUUAUGUGAUACAGUGACAAUAUGCAGCGACAAAACGAUGAAAUGUCGAAUAAAAGUAUUUGUGGUGAA